Molecule: small nuclear RNA, 186 nt
Organism: Colius striatus (speckled mousebird)
Lineage: Eukaryota; Metazoa; Chordata; Aves; Coliiformes; Coliidae
Rfam family: U2 spliceosomal RNA
About the family: U2 is a small nuclear RNA (snRNA) component of the spliceosome (involved in pre-mRNA splicing). Complementary binding between U2 snRNA (in an area lying towards the 5' end but 3' to hairpin I) and the branchpoint sequence (BPS) of the intron results the bulging out of an unpaired adenosine, on the BPS, which initiates a nucleophilic attack at the intronic 5' splice site, thus starting the first of two transesterification reactions that mediate splicing.
Source: Rfam
AAUGCUUCUCAGCCUUUUGACUGAGAUCAAGUGUAGAAUCUGUUCUUAUCAGUUUAAUAUCUUAUCCUCGAUGAGAGGACUUCAUAUUAAAUGGAGUUUUGGUGUUGGGAGUUGGACCCAGCACUUGCUUACUCCACUCUGGACAUGUCCCAGGAUUGCAGUGCCUCAGGGGAAUGGGUUUUUUUA